Molecule: ribosomal RNA, 435 nt
Filed under: Triticum aestivum (bread wheat)
Lineage: Eukaryota; Viridiplantae; Streptophyta; Magnoliopsida; Poales; Poaceae
Description: partial small subunit ribosomal RNA
Source: RNAcentral
AUGCUAGCAUCCUCGCGGCCGAGCAGCUUGACCGGAGUUCCCGUCCUGGGCGUCACCACCUGCGACGCCGCGAGCUCGUCCUGCCCGACUAUCCUCCCGGGCCACCAGGACCCGUUCCGCCGCCGCACCCAGACGAUGGUCCCCGGCGAGCAGUCUGCGAUUCCGCCGCCAUCCGCCUCCCCUUGCCCCUCCCCUCCUCCUCCCUCUCCCCCCGAGCUCCGCCCCAUGGCGACCAGGCCAACACCAAACCUAACCGAAUCCUCAGGGGCGGAUCUACAGGGCGUGCGGCACGCUGGUGGGAUUAACUUAGCCGCUGGCCGAAACCAACUCGCGCGGGAUUGGGACGUCGGCGGUCGGCGGUCGGCGGUGAAGGGCCGGCCGGCGGUGAAGCUAGGGCACGGUCAAGGCGGUCUUUUUUCUUUUUUUUUUCCUUGA